This 504-nucleotide ribosomal RNA is filed under the name uncultured bacterium. RNAcentral's name for it is "partial 16S ribosomal RNA". It matches the Rfam family "Bacterial small subunit ribosomal RNA", at positions 30 to 523 of the family's 1533-position model. The record is from RNAcentral.
AUUGAACGCUGGCGGCAUGCCUUACACAUGCAAGUCGAACGGCAGCAUGGAGAGCUUGCUCUCUGAUGGCGAGUGGCGAACGGGUGAGUAAAGCAUCGGAACGUACCGUGUAGUGGGGGGUAACGUAGCGAAAGGUACGCUAAUACCGCAUACGCACUGAGGUGGAAAGCAGGGGAUCGCAAGACCUUGCGCUAUACGAGCGGCCGAUGUCAGAUUAGCUAGUUGGUAGGGUAAAGGCCUACCAAGGCGACGAUCUGUAGCGGGUCUGAGAGGAUGAUCCGCCACACUGGGACUGAGACACGGCCCAGACUCCUACGGGAGGCAGCAGUGGGGAAUUUUGGACAAUGGGGGCAACCCUGAUCCAGCCAUGCCGCGUGAGUGAAGAAGGCCUUCGGGUUGUAAAGCUCUUUCGGCCGGGAAGAAAUCGCACAGGCUAAUACUCUGUGUGGAUGACGGUACCGGCAUAAGAAGCACCGGCUAACUACGUGCCAGCCGCCGCCGUAA